UCCCUGGUGGCCUAAUGGUUAAGGCUCCUGCGCGCUCACCACUGUGGCCCAGGUUUGAUCCCUGGGCAGGGAA
Pangasius djambal is the source of this 73-nucleotide non-coding RNA. NCBI's taxonomy places the organism in Eukaryota, Metazoa, Chordata, Actinopteri, Siluriformes, Pangasiidae. The record is from the annotation of a GenBank genome assembly.